GAUGAAGAACGCAGCGAAAUGCGAUAAGUAGUGUGAAUUGCAGAAUUCAGUGAAUCAUCGAAUCUUUGAACGCACAUUGCGCCCCUUGGUAUUCCAUGGGGCAUGCCUGUUCGAGCGUCAUUUCAACCAUCAAGCCCUAGGCUUGCGUUGGAGCCCUGCGGCUGCCGCAGGCCCCUAAAAGCAGUGGCGGGCUCGCUAUCACACCGAGUGCAGUAGAUUACUCUUCGCUCAGGGCGUGUGGCGGGUUCCAGCCGUGAAACCCCCUACUUCUCAAGGUUGACCUCGGAUCAGGUAGGAAUACCCGCUGAACUUAAGCAUAUCAAUAAGCGGAGGA
Molecule: unclassified non-coding RNA, 334 nt
Filed under: soil metagenome
Description: partial contains 5.8S ribosomal RNA, internal transcribed spacer 2, and large subunit ribosomal RNA
Rfam family: 5.8S ribosomal RNA (bases 1-120)
Source: RNAcentral